This 202-nucleotide long non-coding RNA is filed under the name Chloebia gouldiae (Gouldian finch). RNAcentral's name for it is "Erythrura gouldiae (Gouldian finch) lncRNA (ENSEGOG00005001051.1)". The record is from RNAcentral. Lineage: Eukaryota; Metazoa; Chordata; Aves; Passeriformes; Passeridae.
CACGAUGUGUGUGGUACAAAGUGGUACAGAAGCCAAAACUGAAUACUCGGGCAUUUGACACAGCUCCAGAGCACUCACAAUCAACACCUCCAUGGCCCUUUGGGUUCCUGGGAACAAUGGGAAAUGGAUCAUCUUGACUGAAGUUACCUGUAGCUCCAGCCUCACUGAAAACACUGUUUUGAUAUAGGCAAGUGGUUUGAAG